AUACGGAGGGUGCAAGCGUUAUCCGGAUUUAUUGGGUUUAAAGAGUGCGUAGGCGGUCUAUUAAGUCAGUGGUGAAAGCGAACAGCUUAACUGUUUGUCUACCAUUGAUACUGAUAGACUAGAGAAAAGUUGAGGUAUGUGGAAUUUAUGGUGUAGCGGUGAAAUGCAUAGAUACCAUAAAGAACACCAAUAGCGUAGGCAGCAUAUCAAGCUUUUUCUGACGCUCAAGCACGAAAGCAUGGGGAGCGAACAGGAUUAGAAACCCCGGUAGUCC
RNAcentral lists this ribosomal RNA (274 nucleotides) under uncultured bacterium. Its description in RNAcentral is "partial 16S ribosomal RNA". It matches the Rfam family "Bacterial small subunit ribosomal RNA", at positions 523 to 796 of the family's 1533-position model. The record is from RNAcentral.